This 138-nucleotide small nucleolar RNA is filed under the name Ornithorhynchus anatinus (platypus). The record is from RNAcentral. Lineage: Eukaryota; Metazoa; Chordata; Mammalia; Monotremata; Ornithorhynchidae.
CCCCUCUCAGGGUCGCACGAGGAGAGUUUCCAGUACUCUACCAGUCUCCACUACGGGAGGGAGAGUCAAGCAGAGGCCUAUCCAUUCCAUUCCUAGCUUGCCCAGUGGCUAGCGAGUGGAAGGCAAUCUGCUACAAGU